AGCAGCCGCGGUAAUUCCAGCUCCAAUAGCGUAUAUUAAAGUUGUUGCAGUUAAAAAGCUCGUAGUUGAAUUUCGGGAUCAAUACGUCGGUCGUGCCUUCGGUACGUACUGGCGUCAUUGGUUUCUCCCUUCUGACGAACCAUGAUGUCAUUAAUUUGGUGUUAUGGGAAGUUAGGACUGUUACUUUGAAAAAUUAGAGUGUUUAAAGCAGGCAUUAGCUUGAAUACAUUAGCAUGGAAUAAUGAAAUAGGACGUUCGAACCUAUUUUGUUGGUUUCUAGGCUCAACGUAAUGAUUAAUAGGGAUAGUUGGGGGCAUUAGUAUUCAAUUGUCAGAGGUGAAAUUCUUGGAUUUAUUGAAGACUAACUACUGCGAAAGCAUUUGCCAAGGAUGUUUUCAUUAAUCAAGAACGAAAGUUAGGGGAUCGAAGACGAUCAGAUACCGUCGUAGUCUUAACCAUAAACUAUGCCGACUAGGGAUCGGAUGAUGUUAAUUUUUAAUGUACUCAUUCGGCGCCUUAA
Molecule: ribosomal RNA, 520 nt
Filed under: uncultured Glomus
Lineage: Eukaryota; Fungi; Glomeromycota; Glomeromycetes; Glomerales; Glomeraceae
Description: SSU rRNA
Rfam family: Eukaryotic small subunit ribosomal RNA
Source: RNAcentral